GAGUUUGAUCCUGGCUCAGGAUGAACGCUGGCGGCGUGCCUAAUACAUGCAAGUCGAACGCACAGCGAAAGGUGCUUGCACCUUUCAAGUGAGUGGCGAACGGGUGAGUAACACGUGGACAACCUGCCUCAAGGCUGGGGAUAACAUUUGGAAACAGAUGCUAAUACCGAAUAAAACUUAGUGUCGCAUGACACAAAGUUAAAAGGCGCUUCGGCGUCACCUAGAGAUGGAUCCGCGGUGCAUUAGUUAGUUGGUGGGGUAAAGGCCUACCAAGACAAUGAUGCAUAGCCGAGUUGAGAGACUGAUCGGCCACAUUGGGACUGAGACACGGCCCAAACUCCUACGGGAGGCUGCAGUAGGGAAUCUUCCACAAUGGGCGAAAGCCUGAUGGAGCAACGCCGCGUGUGUGAUGAAGGCUUUCGGGUCGUAAAGCACUGUUGUAUGGGAAGAACAGCUAGAAUAGGAAAUGAUUUUAGUUUGACGGUACCAUACCAGAAAGGGACGGCUAAAUACGUGCCAGCAGCCGCGGUAAU
This 533-nucleotide ribosomal RNA is filed under the name uncultured bacterium. Its description in RNAcentral is "bacterial SSU rRNA". It matches the Rfam family "Bacterial small subunit ribosomal RNA", at positions 9 to 524 of the family's 1533-position model. The record is from RNAcentral.